AGAAACAAAACGGAGGGAUCUGAUUUCAAUCUUCCUUCUUCCGAGAUCGGCGUAAAUGGUUGCAAUUGAUUUCAUCUCAGAGGCCAUAGACUCUGACUCGGCGACUCGGUGGUGGUUCACCGUUCACUCCCUUACCGCCUCUCUCUUUUUCCGGCGACCUCUGCUCUCUCCCAAACCUCUCUCCGUCCGCGAAAGAUCGGCGUCCGAUUCAAGCAUUUCCUUCCUCAAUGGAUCUUGUCUCUCACUCGGAUUCAAAACAUCGUCGGAUCUUGUAUCUCACUCGCAGCGAUUUGUGCAUAGCUCGACCUCCAUGGCCAUCAGAGGCGUCGAUUUCAAGUGUCGCCAACAAAUGAAUCACUCAGGCGGUGCCGAUUCUCGUCGCCGGAAAACGACGUUGUACAGGCGCCAGACUCACCGACUUCCGUCCAGUCCACUUCAGCACUGGAAGCUUCACGACCGGAGCCUCCGAGGCCUCUGCUCGGAAGCUCGCCGUCGGGCUCUGGCAGCUGUGCUUCAGCGAAGUUUCAUGGGGUACAGAGCUCAAUUCUGGUUCUGAUGAUCAUCUUCGAGCUCAUCUUGAGAUCUUGUUAUAUGAAACCGAUAGCGAUUGUUGAUGUUUGUUGAUAAUGGGCUGGCAGCUGGAAUGGGUUUGUUCUGAAUCCCAGACAGCAGCACCUUUGGCUGGAGAUUCUGCUCAAGCUUUCUUCUCAAGUUCAAAGGCUUCAACAACUUUGGGAGGAAAAGCUUCUGAACAACCCCCACGAACACCAGUAUCCAAAGAAGAGAUCGAGGCUAUUUUGGUUUGUAGAAUUUUUUUGCCUUGUAUUGCAAUAUUCUAUUCGUGGUUUUAUUUAUUAACUUUCCUUGGAUCAAAUUCUUCAGCCCUAAUGCCUGCCUCUUCACUGGCCACCCUUUGACAUGCAACUAGUAGUUUACAUAGGUGAAAGUGAUGAGAUGCAUCAUAGUCUUUUUCUCUUACUAAAUUAUCGCACUAGAAUUCUCAUUAAUGAUAAUUUUUUGGUGUUGUGAAAGUGGUGGGAAGCAUGAGUUUCACCAAUUCAUGCCUGUAAGUUCAUUUCACUUUAUAGGUUAGGAGGAAAUUCCUUCGAACUGGUCAAGCGACGAGUAUUGUACGGACGAGAAGUAUGUUAUAUGAUUAGUGAUUCAUUGGGAUCUGUCAAGUCUCAAGUUACUGAAACAGGCACACUGACUAGAUGUUGCUCUAGAAAUAAUGCAGUAGGCUAUAUGUGUUUAAACUUGUUUUAGUCCCUUACUAGUUUAAAAAUGCUUCUUUUCUGAUAAAUUUUUCGAACUGAUUGAUUAGCAUAUAGGAUAAUCUGAUGGGAAAUGGAAUUGAUUUUUCAGUCUGAAGUUUUUGCCGUUGCAUUUCAUUUUUCAAUCGGAUAGGAUAAUCUAAAUCUUUCUCACUGCUCUUUCUUUAACUAUCGAUGGUGGUCAUGUUUCAUGGUUUAUUUGCUUUUGUGAUGAUGGGUUGUUGGUGGAUUUUGUAUUACUUUGAUCUGAUACAUCCGUGAUUGUUUUGGUUGGUUUGCAAACCCAGUCUUCAUGCUUUCUCUGUUGGAGUAUUUCCUUGUCUGUAGAUGAUCUUGUUGUUUGUCUUGUUUGAAUUGUGGAUUGAUGGAGUUGCAAUGGAUAAUUCUGGAGAUCUAUAAUCAGUUCCUAAAGUUUCAAGAGUCGUGCUUUCUUUUGAUGGCCUGUUCUGGUCAAUUGCCAAAUGUGAUAGAUGGAGAAUCUAAUAAGCGAAUUUGGUUUGAUGAGGCUCUAUGAUGUACGACUUCUUUAUGGGAAAUGGUUGGCAUGUGGCAUCAUAUCAAGCUAUCAUCAGCCCCUGCAAGUACUCAUGUAAUCAAUCUGAAGACAAUUCUAAUCUAGCUAGCAUGUUCUAUAUUUGAAAACCAGUUUAAUUAUACUAUGAUUUUGUAAUAUGAAGUUAAUUGAUAUAAUUUAUUAUAUGAAUGCUUUUGUUUACUAUGGUUGAAUGAAAGGAUUUAAUUGAAAGUAUUGUC
Long non-coding RNA from Rosa rugosa (rugosa rose), 2027 nucleotides. RefSeq lists it as uncharacterized. The record is from RefSeq and is a predicted model, not a curated record. Lineage: Eukaryota; Viridiplantae; Streptophyta; Magnoliopsida; Rosales; Rosaceae. The transcript is spliced from 5 exons.